CCCCAACACUUGGCACCUUAUUUUUCUUCUUCUUCUUCCUUUUCUCAGAGGGAUGACAUCCAUCUGAAGAAGAUGCUCCCACUACAUUCACCGUCUUCUUAUGGAACUGGUGAUCUUUCUCAAAAGUCUGUAGCAACCCCAACAGAUAGUGGUAGUUUACUACAAGCUUUGUCAUUCAAUAAUGACUGAGAAACGGUAAGUAGGAUUUCAAUAGGGAUUUCAGAAUCGCAUCUUUCUUAAGCUGCUUGUGCAAGAAAAAGUCGAGCUUGCUAAAGCAC
Molecule: long non-coding RNA, 278 nt
Filed under: Elaeis guineensis (African oil palm)
Lineage: Eukaryota; Viridiplantae; Streptophyta; Magnoliopsida; Arecales; Arecaceae
Description: long non-coding RNA (EGUI_LNC037623)
Source: RNAcentral